Molecule: ribosomal RNA, 253 nt
Filed under: uncultured bacterium
Lineage: Bacteria
Also listed under: 1 other name
Description: partial 16S ribosomal RNA
Rfam family: Bacterial small subunit ribosomal RNA
Source: RNAcentral
UACAGAGGUCUCAAGCGUUGUUCGGAUUCAUUGGGCGUAAAGGGUGCGUAGGUGGCGAGGCAAGUCGGAUGUGAAAUCCCGGGGCUCAACCCCGGAACUGCAUUCGAUACUGCCCUGCUCGAGUACUGGAGAGGAGAUCGGAAUUUACGGUGUAGCAGUGAAAUGCGUAGAUAUCGUAAGGAAGACCAGUGGCGAAGGCGGAUCUCUGGACAGUUACUGACACUGAGGCACGAAGGCCAGGGGAGCAAACGGG